This 254-nucleotide ribosomal RNA is filed under the name uncultured bacterium. Its description in RNAcentral is "partial 16S ribosomal RNA". It matches the Rfam family "Bacterial small subunit ribosomal RNA", at positions 524 to 776 of the family's 1533-position model. The record is from RNAcentral.
UACGUAGGGUGCAAGCGUUGUCCGGAAUUAUUGGGCGUAAAGAGCUCGUAGGCGGUCUGUCACGUCGGCUGUGAAAUCCCGAGGCUCAACCUCGGGUCUGCAGUCGAUACGGGCAAACUAGAGUAUUGCAGGGGAGACUGGAAUUCCUGGUGUAGCGGUGAAAUGCGCAGAUAUCAGGAGGAACACCGAUGGCGAAGGCAGCUCGCUGGGACGGUACUGACGCUGGAGGCGCGAAAGCGUGGGGAGCAAACAGG